Molecule: transfer RNA, 75 nt
Filed under: Sulfitobacter sp. R18_1
Lineage: Bacteria; Pseudomonadati; Pseudomonadota; Alphaproteobacteria; Rhodobacterales; Roseobacteraceae
Description: tRNA-Trp
Rfam family: tRNA
About the family: Transfer RNA (tRNA) molecules are approximately 80 nucleotides in length.
Source: RNAcentral
AUCGGUGUAGCUCAGUGGUAGAGCGCGAGUCUCCAAAACUCGGCGUCCGGGGUUCGAUUCCCUGCACCGGUGCCA